GGACUACUGGGGUAUCUAAUCCCGUUUGCUCCCCUGGCUUUCGCGCCUCAGCGUCAGUAGAGGGCCAGCGGACCGCUUUCGCCACCGGCGUUCCUUCCGAUAUCAACGCAUUUCACCGCUCCACCGGAAGUUCCGUCCGCCCCUACCUCCCUCGAGCUGGACAGUAUCAGAGGCCCUUUUCCGGUUGAGCCGAAAGAUUUCACCCCUGACUUUUCCAGCCGCCUACGCGCCCUUUAAGCCCAGUGAUUCCGAACAACGUUCGCACGGUUCGUCUUACCGCGGCUGCUGGCAC
This 292-nucleotide ribosomal RNA is filed under the name uncultured Planctomycetota bacterium. RNAcentral describes it as "uncultured planctomycete partial 16S ribosomal RNA". The record is from RNAcentral. Lineage: Bacteria; Pseudomonadati; Planctomycetota.